This 253-nucleotide ribosomal RNA is filed under the name uncultured bacterium. RNAcentral describes it as "partial 16S ribosomal RNA". It matches the Rfam family "Bacterial small subunit ribosomal RNA", at positions 524 to 776 of the family's 1533-position model. The record is from RNAcentral.
UACGUAGGGUGCAAGCGUUGUCCGGAAUCAUUGGGCGUAAAGAGCUCGUAGGCGGUCUGUCGCGUCUGCUGUGAAAACUCAGGGCUUAACCCUGAGCUUGCAGUGGGUACGGGCAGACUAGAGUGCGGUAGGGGAGACUGGAAUUCCUGGUGUAGCGGUGAAAUGCGCAGAUAUCAGGAGGAACACCGGUGGCGAAGGCGGGUCUCUGGGCCGUAACUGACGCUGAGGAGCGAAAGCAUGGGGAGCGAACAGG